Molecule: long non-coding RNA, 2608 nt
Organism: Vicia villosa (hairy vetch)
Lineage: Eukaryota; Viridiplantae; Streptophyta; Magnoliopsida; Fabales; Fabaceae
Exons: 6
Source: RefSeq, a predicted model, not a curated record
CUUCCCAACGUCAUCUCUUUCUUCCUCUUCUUCUUCUUUCUUCUUUCUUCUCUCUUCCAUCUUUUCCUCUUCUUCUUUUUUAUCUUUUCUUUCUUCCAUCUUUUCCUCUUCUUUUUUAUGUCUUCUGCUAUCUUUGAUUUUGAAAUCCUAUUUUUCUCUCUUCAUUACUUCACUCUGUAUUUCUUCUUCUCCUAAGGAUUCAAACAUUUCAAGAAUGAUAAACGAGGUUACUAAUCGAAAUAGGUGAUACAACGGCGGAUCUGGCAUUUUCAGCGAUUUUACGGUGGUGUGUGGUUUUGCGAUGGUGGAUCUGUCAUAAAGCUCCAAAACUUCUACACAUAUUUUAUGAAUAUAUUAACUGGUAUUUUAUAUGUGCAGAAGUGCUUAACUUUAGAUUUUUAUUUUGUGCUUAUCUUUAGCAUGACUGUUGUAUCACUUCUUCAUUCUCUGAGAAUGUUCACAUUUCAAAGUCGUUGAAUGAUGGACUCUAUGGGAUGCAUCUUCAUGUAUACAACUGGCCCGGGGGAGAACUGAAACAAACACUGGACCUUAGUGAAAAAGGACUUUUACCUUUGGAGAUUGUGAUACAAGUGGAACCAUUGAAAGUGCAAGGUUUCUUCCUGAAAUGCCCGGGCUUAUAACUGAUUUUUUGAUUUCUCUUGAUGACCGCUUUCUGUACUUCGUAAACUGGCUUCACGGCGAUAUAAGACAAUAUAACAUUGAGGACAUCAAAAGUCCUAAACUAACCGGUCAAUUAUGGGUUGGUGGCCUUUUCCAAGAAGGAAGCCAUGUCGUUGCUGUUAAGGACGACGGUGAAACUUUACAAGUUCAUGUUCCAGAGAUUCAGGGAUUUUAAACUUGGUACUCAUGUGUUGUCUUUGUGAAAUAGUCUAUAUGUAUAUAGCACUGCCAUGCCUGCAAGUAGAUAGUUUCAUUGUUUCUAUGAUGAUGUAGGUAAUUGUUAUUUCAUGGGGAUUUUCUAGAAUUUGAUUCUCAUAUUGAUUUUUGUGUUUUAGAUCAAGUAGAACAACUUUGUCUGAAUAGUGUUGCCGAUCAAUACUAAUCUGAAUCAUGACGCUGAUUAUGCUCCACCUGUUGCUUCUCAUGAUACCAUUCCAAUUGAUGCGGAUAUGGAGAUACCUCAUUGGAGUCUUUCGUCGAAUGAGGAGAAGCUGGCUAAAGGGGCACAACAUUGGCAGUUUUUUUUUUAUGAUUAUAAUUUAUAAUGCAGGACACACUGCACUUGCAUUGUGAUCUCGAUCCAUUUGAUUCUAUUGCAACAACUGCAUUGGAUUUUGAAAUGAGUUCAUGGUUGAAAGUGACACUGAUAUUACUGGAUCAAAAACUCUAGGGAUGCAGCCUCUUGCUUCUCAUGCAAAGCAGAUUCGAGAGGAUGUGUCCAAGCUUUCUUCCUUGCGAGAUUUUUGAAAGCAAGUCAGCUUUCUUCCUUGGAUCACCAGUUUUGGAAAGUUCAAGCUGAAACAAUUGAAUCUGCAAUCUUUAUUUCAAUUUGGAGCAACCAAAGCAAUUGAGAGAUAGAAAAGGUUUAUGAACAUGCUCCUUCUCUUUUCAACACGUUUUUACAAAUGGUUCCUCAGGCUGCUCUUCGAUCCACGCAGCUUCUCCGCCUUUCUCACAAAUACUUGAUUCUUUGGAACUCAAACACCCUUUUAUAAGAAAUUGGAUUGACCUACUCUCUUUCUUGCUUGCUGGUGUCAAAUCUGAUAGUAUACUUUCUGCAUAAAUGGUCUGGAGGGUGGCCUUCAUGCUCUGUUAAUAGCGACGGCAAAAUAAACGCAUGUAAUGGCACAUGUGGCUAUGGUUGACGGAAGGAUUCGGUGGACUGGCUGAUCCGACGAUAACGAGUCAAAUGGUGUGUUCAUCGUUCUACCUAAGGGAUGAGUUGCAUCUGAAAAUAGUGAUCAAGGUGUUGAAUGAUGCAGGACUUUCUGUUGAUAAAAUUCCAUUUGAUUUCCCUCACUACUUCAUAUUAUGCGCUAUUAACUUCUCUCUACUUCUUCACUUCUACCAUGGAUAUUCUUCAAAAUAUUUUUGUUUUUGUUCUCUCUACUUCUUCAUCAUAUAGAAACAAGUAUAUGUGUCUUAAUAUGAAUACUUUAUUAUAUAUACUUAAGUCAGUUAUAUGGUUUUCAAUAAUUUAGAGACAUUAAUUUGAAGUAUAUUUGUUGUAACUGGAUAUAUUGACUUUGCAUUUAAAAUCCUAUUUUAAUAGUAUUUUCUUAUGAUUCUUAGAAAAUCAUCUCUUUAAUCCGUGCAGUUUAUAUUCAUAGUUGUAUCUAUGAAAAGCAAUUAGUUUGAAUCGAAAGCUAUUAUUUGAGAAAUCAUAUAACUAGGUCUUUUCGUAUGCAUUGUAAUGUGAAGAUAUUCAUGAAUUUCAUAAUUUUUCCUCUAAUUGUGCUGUGUAUGAGCUUUAUAUUUGAAUGAUCAUUAUGAAAAACUAGCGGGAUACCCGUGCAUUCGCACGGGUACUGGUAUGCACGCGCAUUUGUUCCCAAAAUAUAAUAAAAAUUAAAUUAUUCAAUAAAAAAGUUUAUUAUUUUUAAAAGCGAUAAAAAAUUGGUGUCUAUAAUUAUUUCCAUAUAUACAA